This 552-nucleotide long non-coding RNA is filed under the name Sus scrofa (pig). RNAcentral's name for it is "lncRNA (ENSSSCG00070008444.1)". Lineage: Eukaryota; Metazoa; Chordata; Mammalia; Artiodactyla; Suidae. The record is from RNAcentral.
UCGCUCCCCCAUUUCCCCCCCCCCCUCCCGCGCCGACGCCCGUGACGUCAGCCGCCCGGCUCCAUUUGAGCGCCUCUCGGCAGCCGAGAACUCGGACUUCCCGUGUGGCUCACAACAUAACUACUCGGCGUUGCUUCUACAGUGGCUGUGGCUCGACCCCUGGCCUGGGAACUUCCAUAUGCCGCAGCCCCGCGGCGGCAGAUGGCACUCGUUCUGCCGCUUUUUCCUGGCUGUGUGCGAUGCCAUCGCAUAGAUGUCCCCGGGUCUGCGAAGUGCACUCACCUGUCAGUGGACCUUUAGGUGGCUUCCAGAUCUUGGCUCUGGUGAGUAGUGCGGCGACAGACAGAGGGGUGCCCGGGUCUGCUUCCGGGAAAGUUUGGUCCCGGUGAAAUGGAGCUGUUUGGAGGCCGGCUUCGGUCUUUGUGUGGGCCGGCCCGUGUAGGGCUGCUUGGCUGAGACUCUGUCGAGGAGGGAGGCCUUCAGCCACCGGGGCCUCACGGGGCCUACCCGUGCGGCACCAUCACAGAGCUCUCCGUCACUGCCCCUUGUGGG